This 959-nucleotide unclassified non-coding RNA is filed under the name Hevea brasiliensis (rubber tree). Lineage: Eukaryota; Viridiplantae; Streptophyta; Magnoliopsida; Malpighiales; Euphorbiaceae. The record is from RNAcentral.
AAAAAGCUAAAACCCACUUCUCCAAUUUCACUCAAUUUUGUAGAUUUUCAAUAAUCUUUCAGUUUUUUAUCCCCAAAUCUAUCUGGGUAUAUGAAAAAGUAAAUAAAAAUCGAAUCUUUUUCAGCUGUGUUCUCCUCCAUCGCAUCAGAUAAACAAUCUCUGUAACGAAUUUUCACGGAUUCAAUGAACAAGACUGAUCAUGCACCUGAAACAACAACACUUAAAAUCAAGGCGUUCUUUGAAUCAGCUCCACCACUAAAAGAUGCUACUGAAAUAGAGACAAAAUUGAAGGAAUUUGUUGACCGGAAUUCAUCAUCAGGGAAUGGAAAAGCAAAUAGGGUGGUGUGUGUGACUUCUGGCGGUACAACUGUUCCUUUGGAGAAACGAUGUGUUCGCUAUAUUGAUAACUUUAGCUCUGGUCAUAGAGGAUCUGCUUCCACAGAGUACUUUUUGAAGGCUGGUUAUUCUGUCAUCUUUCUGUAUCGUAGGGGAACCUGCCAGCCAUUUUGCAGAUCACUACCUGACGAUCCAUUGCUCGAGUGUUUUACUUCAACUGAUGAUUUAAGUAUUCAAGUGGACCCAUCGCAUGCUGAAGUGGUGAAGAGAGCCAUUGCUGAAAAUCGUUCGGCAGUUAAUGGCGGUUUCCUGUUGAAAUUACCGUUUACAACAAUUUUCGAGUAUUUACAGAUUCUUCGGAUGAUAGCUGUCUCUUUAAGGAGCCUUGGUCCUAGUGCUAUGUUCUAUCUUGCAGCUGCAGUUUCUGAUUUCUAUGUACCGUGGGAGAGCAUGACGAUGCAUAAGAUCCAGUCAGGAUCUGGUCCUUUGGACAUGCGGCUUGCUCAAGUACCGAAGAUGCUUUAUGUUCUUAGAAAUGAGUGGGCACCAGUGGCUUUCUGCAUAUCUUUCAAGCUGGAGACAGAUACAGAUAUCCUUUUAGGGAAGGCUGAUAUGGCCCUCAA